UACGUAGGGUGCGAGCGUUAAUCGGAAUUACUGGGCGUAAAGCGUGCGCAGGCGGUUUUGUAAGCCAGAUGUGAAAUCCCCGGGCUCAACCUGGGAACUGCAUUUGUGACUGCAAGGCUAGAGUACGGUAGAGGGGGAUGGAAUUCCGCGUGUAGCAGUGAAAUGCGUAGAUAUGCGGAGGAACACCGAUGGCGAAGGCAAUCCCCUGGACCUGUACUGACGCUCAUGCACGAAAGCGUGGGGAGCAAACAGG
This 253-nucleotide ribosomal RNA is filed under the name uncultured bacterium. Its description in RNAcentral is "partial 16S ribosomal RNA". It matches the Rfam family "Bacterial small subunit ribosomal RNA", at positions 524 to 776 of the family's 1533-position model. The record is from RNAcentral.